RNAcentral lists this long non-coding RNA (1672 nucleotides) under Pan troglodytes (chimpanzee). Its description in RNAcentral is "lincRNA". The record is from RNAcentral. Lineage: Eukaryota; Metazoa; Chordata; Mammalia; Primates; Hominidae.
AUAAAGUACACUUCAGCUUCGACAUCAGUAGACCAAACACUGGGUGUUUCAAGAAGCAAGGACAUUUAAAUGAAAAAAGAAGAGGAAGAAAGCCCUCUGUUAAUUUGAAGCUGAGCAUCUGAUCCACUAAAAUUGACAAAAUAAAUAGCAUAAUCGUAUACCUGGGGAUUCAUGCCGAAACUUCUGAAUCAGACACCCUGGGGCUGGGAACUAGUCAGCCAGGGUGUCUUCUGGAUCACACACCCUGGGGAAUGUGGACUUUAACAUUUCUUCUGAGUAAUUUUGGCCUCCAGCCUGAGUAAGGAUAGUUCUAGACCUAUAGUUCUUAAACCUAGAUGAGUAAUUAUAAAAAUUACCUAGGGGAGGAGCCAAGAUGGCCGAAUAGGAACAGCUCCGGUCUACAGCUCCCAGCGUGAGCGACGCAGAAGACGGGUGAUUUCUGCAUUUCCAUCUGAGGUACCGGGUUCAUCUCACUAGGGAGGGCCAGACAGUGAGCGCAGGUCAUUGGGUGCACGCACCAUGCGCGAGCCGAAGCAGGGCGAGGCAUUGCCUCACUUGGGAAGCGCAAGGGGUCAGGGAGUUCCCUUUCCGAGUCAAAGAAAGGGGUGACGGACACACCUGGAAAAUCGGGUCACUCCCACCCGAAUAUUGCGCUUUUCGGACCGGCUUAAAAAACGGUGCACCACAAGAUUAUAUCCCACACCUGGCUCGGAGGGUCCUACGCCCACGGAAUCUCGCUGAUUGCUAGCACAGCAGUCUGAGAUCAAACUGCAAGGCGGCAGCGAGGCUGGGGGAGGGGCGCCCGCCAUUGCCCAGGCUUGAUUAGGUAAACAAAGCAGCCUGGAAGCUCGAACUGGAUGGAGCCCACCACAGCUCAAGGAGGCCUGCCUGCCUCUGUAGGCUCCACCUCUGGGGGCAGGGCACAGACAAACAAAAAGACAGCAGUAACCUCUGCAGACUUAAAUGUCCCUGUCUGACAGCUUUGAAGAGAGCAGUGGUUCUUCCAGCACGCAGCUGGAGAUCUGAGAACGGGCAGACUGCCUCCUCAAGUGGGUCCCUGACCCCGACCCCCGAGCAGCCUAGCUGGGAGGCACCCCCCAGCAGGGGCACACUGACACCUCACACGGCGGGGUACUCCAACAGACCUGCAGCUGAGGGUCCUGUCUGUUAGAAGGAAAACUAACAAACAGAAAGGACAUCCACACCAAAAACCCAUCUGUACAUCACCAUCAUCAAAGACCAAAAGUAGAUAAAACCACAAACAUGGGGAAAAAACAGAACAGAAAAACUGGAAACUCUAAAAAGCAGAGCGCCUCUCCUCCUCCAAAGGAACACAGUUCCUCACCAGCAACGGAACAAAGCUGGAUGGAGAAUGACUUUGACGAGCUGAGAGAAGGCUUCAGAUGAUCAAAUUACUCUGAGCUACGGGAGGACAUUCAAACCAAAGGCAAAGAAGUUGAAAACUUUGAAAAAAAUUUAGAAGAAUGUAUAACUAGAAUAACCAAUACAGAGAAGUGUUUAAAGGAGCUGAUGGAGCUGAAAACCAAGGCUCGAGAACUACGUGAAGAAUGCAGAAGCCUCAGGAGCCCAUGCAAUCAACUGGAAGAAAGGGUAUCAGCGAUGGAAGAUGAAAUGAAUGAAAUGAAGCGAGAAGGGAAGUUUAGAGAAAAAA